GGCCUUUGCAGACAGCUCUGCGCCUUGACUUUGGUGCCAGCAUUGUAGAGCUGCAGUUCCAAGGCCCUCGCAAACAGAGACUGAUCCCAUCAGAAUGAAGAGAAGUUGAUGGCAUCUGCUGAGCUUCAUAGAGAAGGGCUUUGCAUGUGAAUUUGGAACCAUCUUCAGAAUCAGGUUGCCGUGCAGUCUGUCAAUGUAUUGUAACUGAGACCUGCAAGAGCUCUUCUCACACCUGGAAACAUCAUGGUGACAUUGUGUCUGCCACCAGCUCCAGCCCCAGGAAAGUAGCAUGUGAGGACAGGUGUGGCUGGUUAUCUUCCCAAUGCCUGGUUAAGGCAUAAUAAAAAUCAGAUGCUGUUGGUGUGGAACAGGG
RNAcentral lists this long non-coding RNA (373 nucleotides) under Rhinopithecus bieti (black snub-nosed monkey). Its description in RNAcentral is "lncRNA (ENSRBIG00000046139.1)". The record is from RNAcentral. Lineage: Eukaryota; Metazoa; Chordata; Mammalia; Primates; Cercopithecidae.